RNAcentral lists this long non-coding RNA (1268 nucleotides) under Mustela putorius furo (domestic ferret). Its description in RNAcentral is "lncRNA (ENSMPUG00000030891.1)". The record is from RNAcentral. Lineage: Eukaryota; Metazoa; Chordata; Mammalia; Carnivora; Mustelidae.
NNNNNNNNNNNNNNNNNNGGGAGCCGCGGGCGCUUUGGCCCAGGGUCCCGGGGCCAAAGAAUUGGGUUCCAUCCUGGUGGUGUUCCUUGGCUGACCCGCCCUUUCAGCUCCGAGAGCCUCAAUUUGCAGCUCUAUAUCAGGGAGACUAUUUUUGACCGAGAUGGAAAUCAGAAUUUUCCUGUGUUCUAGCUUUAGGGCGGUGUGUAUCUUUGCAAAGUUUUAAGAAAUCUUUUUACAAAGGCUUCAGCAGGCUUUCCUUUCCCUCUGGGUACAGAGCUUCAUUUCAGCCAAGGGGAGAAGGCCGAAAAACUUCCUGUCGAGUUCUGAUGAUCAGUUUUCAGAGCGGCCUCCUUCUGACCAUAGAGCUACACUAAAAACAAUCCUUUUGAAUAUCUCCACGGGCCUCAGCUGAGACAAACAGUAAAUGCUUCUGACCGUAUUGUAUUGAACAACCCUUCCAUAUAAGGGGCACCCUCAAAAAGUGUGCAACGAAUAUGACCCUCCCAAGAUCCAGAGCCACUCUCAAAGAUAACCAAAAGAGAGGAAGACGAAUUUUCCCGAGAGCUGGCAACCGCCAGUAGGGCACACUGAGAGCAACCUGCUCUUCUGCAUGGCCGUGUUUUGGGCCCAAGCCUGACAGGUGCCAAGCCAAGUUCUCAAGACACAAAAGGAGACAAACAGGAAGGCAGCAGCUGUACCCAGGAGAGGAAGGAUUCACAGCCGAAACUCCCCACUGGACCCGGGUUAUCUAAAUACAAGUUACUUAUUUGAUUGGCAUUUGCUCUCGUCAGUUUCGCAAACUAAUUUUCUAGAGAUGGACAUUUGGGAAGGAGGCAGUAUUUUUAGGAAAGCGUCAUCGAAUAAAUGCGUGAAUGACAAUGACAACAAAAGGCAAGAAGAGUGUAUGCCAUCUCGCCCUCCAGAGGAAGCACCAAGACAGAGAUGAAGAAGAGGCCAAGUGCUGGUAUAUUCGAAAAUGCUAUUUUAGACCACAUGUGAGCUGCUCACAAAGGAGGUGGCCUGAAACUCUCUUUCUACACCGUGAGAUUAUCACCUACGUCCAGGUAUGAAAAAGAGGCUUAAGCAUUCGUUACAGGAAGUGUUUCAUGGGAAUUUCCUUGGACAGAGAUUUUAGGGAGUAAGUUACAUUUUUGCCUUAACGCAAGUGAGAAGAGCUUCUGGAAAAGCACGUAGGACCCUUGACAGAUGUUCUCUGCACUGUAGACUUACUGUUGCAAGCAGAGCAUGAGGAAGGAAGGCAGGAGUGG